UUCAGUAUUCUUCCGAGUGUCAAACUUAAUUUUCACCAUUUGUCAGAGCAAUGUUUUCAGAACCUUAUCAUGUUGAACUAGACCUUCUUUUCCAUCACAGUUCAGACCAAUAUCACGUGGCCUAUUAAACAUCAAGUGUGAAGAAAAUAGUGGCCCCCCACGUCCCAUGCCUAAUGUCUUCCUUUUGGCAGAAUUUCGUUCUUAGUCCAAUGGGCGCCUUGUUCUGUCCUGAGCUUAUGAUUUUGUCAAUGGCAAAGGUUCAAGAGACAAGUAGAGUCCAAAAGCAAGUGUGAGGGCCAAAGUGGCUCUGAGAAAUCAUUUUACCUAAGAAGCUGAUGAUGUUCUUGGCGGCACUGGCAACGGAUUUUGGAGUCUCAGAGAACUAG
Molecule: long non-coding RNA, 386 nt
Filed under: Homo sapiens (human)
Lineage: Eukaryota; Metazoa; Chordata; Mammalia; Primates; Hominidae
Description: HSALNT0022162
Source: RNAcentral